UUUCGUGUGAACGUGGGAGACUCUGAGGUCUGUUCUCCUCCAUCUGAGGUCUGUUCCCAUAUCAGUGUCCAGACCCAGGUCUAGUGACCUGGAACAGGCCUUCCUGCCCAGGAUACACAUUUCUAUGAGUUUUGAUUAAGGUGACAGCUGUGUAACCAUGACCACAGUCAAGGCGUGGGAUCAAUCUGGGAUCCCCCGUGCUUGGGAGAGCUGACUAAUCAAGAUGUGAUCACGCGAGCGACAGGGGCGGGGAACCCCCCGGGAGUGAGCGAGUUGGUGAAGGAAGGAGGGGAGGUAAGAUUUGCAAAUGGCCCCCAAAUGGGCUUCUCAGGCAGGAUCCUUCCUCUGGGGAGGGAUGGGGGACUGAUAAAGACCUCAGUUCUGCACCUAAGUCAGCCCUGGGUAGAUUUCAGGUUGGUCUGAAGGAAUGAAUUGCUACUUUGUGUCUCUCAUUCCCAGCAAGUUUGUGUUUGUAUCCGCCCCCCAGUUCAGCCCAAAGUUGUUGUUGUUGAUGGCAGUGCUGGUGGUGGGGUGCGAGUGUCUAUUUUAACUCUAACCUCUCUAUGUUGAGUUAAGAGGGGAAAAGAUUUGUCUGACCCUGGGUAGGACAGAGGAGGUGCCAAGGGUGCUAAAGCUGUGCACUGCCGGGGUGGCAGCCGCCCUGGCUCCUGGGGAAAGCGUGCAGGGCAGAUGGAGAGGGACAGUCCACAGUGAAGUCCACAGUGAAGAGCACCAGGGCCCCUGGGGGGCGCCCUCCACCUGAAGCUUUCUCCUGCAGUGGCCCCACUCUGCUUCAGGUACAUGCACUUAGAUUCUCCCAGGUGACUCCUCAAAGCCCAGACACAGCCCUGGAGAGGCCGUGUGAACCAUCUUCAGGGCUCUCAGCUCCUGACACUUGAAGUCUCCCUGCUUAUCUUCUGCGUAAGGAGCCUUUUGGGGCAAAACGAAGGGUGGGGGUCACAGCCCUUGGGAAGCUGCUAAAGGCCCCUCCAGUGUGUCUGUAGUUAGAAUACUUCUCUUGGUAAUUGCUAAUGCUGACAAAUUGAGUACUAGUUAGCUGUGAUGUGCCGUGAACCUACCAGGUCUCACUAAUAAUGUGAAUGGUUCAUUUCAUGUAUCAGCUUGACCCCCGGGGUGACCAGAUAUUUGCCUGGAUAUAAUUCUGGAUGUUUCUAUGAGGGUAUUUUAAGAUGAAAUUAAUAUUCUCCCUCCCCCCGAGGUUAAUAUUUAAAUUCACAGACUGAACAGAGUAGAUUACCCCAUGCAACAGACUGAAUGUGUCCCUUCCAAAAUUCAUAUAUUGAAAAUCUAACCUCUAAGGUGAUGCUAUUAGGAGGUGGGUCCUUAGGUCACAAGAGUGGAGCCCCCAUAAAUGGCAUAAAUGCUCCUAUAGAAAAUCCCCCAGAGAGAUCCCUCACCUUCUGCCACUGAGGACACAGCAAGACGUUGGCAACCUGGAAGCAGGCCCUGGCCACAGCUCCACCAUGCUCACACCUGAUCUUGAACUUGCAGCCUCCAGGACAAUGAGGAGUAAAUUUCCGUUGUUUAUAACCCACUCAGUCUAUGGUGGUUUUUUUUAUAGCCUCCCAAAUGGACUAAUGUGCAUGGGCCUCAUCCAAUGAGUUGGAGACCUGACCUUCACUGACUAAGGGCGAUGUCCCAUGCCUGGCAGACUGUGCAAUGGGACACUGGCCCUUCCUGACUCUGGCCAGCCUCCGCGUUCAGCCUUCCAGGGCAGCGCAGACUUGCCUUGUUUGUUUCAGCCUCUGAGUGGUGUUCCACAGAAUAGGUGCACCGCUACGAACUGUGCCAUUGUCUUAUUAACGGUCAUUUACUUCUGAUCUUGCUGGGUUACAACUGCGCCACAGUGCACCUCCUUAACAUUUCAAAAACUCCAAUAUAACCUGUUACACACUUACUAUCACUUUAUGUGGCACCGAAAAAAGAAAAGAUGCUGCUAAAUUAAAAUAAGAUAUGUCCCUGAUUGCAAGACGCAUACACGUUAGCAGUGUUAAAGCGCACUCCCCACCCUCGAGGGUCUGCACUGCCUUUGCUCCAGUGUGUGAGAAAGUCUCUGGGACUCCAGAGUCUUCAAUGUGGAGGUGCCAGGCUAUAAUGCGAAGGUGACAAGGGGAACAGUGUUCCAUCAAAGGGCACAGCACAUGCAAAGACCCGGAAACUGAGAAGAACACGGAUUUGAGUCACUGACAGAUACUGCCAAGUUGUCCCCCAGGAGGAGGGCAGUGGUGAUAUAUGACUGUCCUCAGUUGCCUUGUUCAGUGAUAUAAUUAUUUUCUUCUGUAACAAACCCCCACACGUGGCAUUGGCAUACAACAAGAGAAAUUAAUUCUCACACAGUUUUAGAGGCCGGAAGUCUGGAGUCCCAGCAUCACGCCCACUCGCUCUCAAGGCUCUAGGGGAAAUCCUGCCUUGUUGCCUCUAGCUUUGGGCCCCAGGCUCUUGUUCUGAGUCUCCAAUCUUCUGGCUUUCUCUCACAGGGACACUUGUCAUUGGAUUUGGGGUUCACCUGGAUAAUCCAAAAUAAUCUCAUCUCAAUAUCCUUACUCUAAUUAUACUUGCAAAGACCCUUUUACCAAAUAACUUCAUAUUCACAGUUCCAGGUGGACGUAUUUUGGGGGCCUCCACUCAACCCACUAUGGAGGUAACAUCUCUUGCAUGCCUGCCAUGUCCUCAGGUCACCAGUGUCUAGCCAAGGGCUGACCACAAUGGCCCAGGGGUUGGGUAGGGUGGGCCUACCUCUGGAGAGGCUCCCACCAGCACAAGAGGCAAAAUGUGGAGCCUGGUUGAGAGACAUGUGACCAGUCUGUAGGCAGGAGGGAUGGGCAGGCUGCCUGUGACAGAGGCAGAGGUGGGGCCUCCCUCCUCGGGUACCAGGGUGCUCAGCAGAAACCUAGACAGCCCCAGGAUAGACUAGUGACAUUCAGGGCCUGACUCAGGAUGGCUGAACUUGGAAGGCUGAGAAGACUUCUCUGGAAUCAAGAUAUUUGUAACUAAGACUUAAGUCCUGUUGACCCCAAGAAGGGCUCCAACUCCUCACCAUCUGUAAUUGCUUGUGACCUUAUAAACCCCCGUCUCCUUUGGGAUCAUGUUCAUCUCACUCCUGAUAACUGCCUGGAGGAUUAGUUCUCAUCCACCAUCCUGAAUAGCUUUCAAGUCUCCAUUUUGCAGAAGACAUGUAUAGAAACAGUCCCUGCCUAUGAAAAGCCCCAAUCCUGGGGGAGAGAAAUGAAAGUAACCACGAUCAAAAUAUAGCUUGGUAAGCACUGUAGCAACACGGGCCAUGCUGAUGAGGGCAGCUGCCUCAUGCUGGGCUGUGCCCCAAGUUACAGGUGAGGGAGCUGAGGCCCUGGGAGGGCCAGGUGCCUGCCCCAGCUGCAUACAACACCCAUCUAGGGUGAGGGAGUUUUGGUGGGGUGACACCUGUGUGAGGCAGAAAGGGAGGAUGCCGCUGGAGUUCGGAAGAUCUCCCAGUUGAGUGCCCUCUAAUAGAGUCUGGGACUCCAGCAGGGGAGCCCAGAGCACAGACAGCCCCAGAAGGGCCACCUUGCAGGCCAUCUAUGCGGCUGCCUCUGUGACAGACACUUACCUUGGAACCUGUGGGGCUCCUAACAUGGACCUUGUGUGAGUUUCCUGGGGCUGCUGUUGUGAAUUAACACAAUUGGGUGGCUUUAAACAAUGGAAAUGUAUUCUCUUAACUGUCUGGAGCCUGGAGUACGUCAGGUGUGAGCAGGACCCGUUGCCCCCAAAGGCUCCAGGGGAGAGCCCCGCCUUCCGCUUCCAGCUCCCGGAGAAGCUGCGUUACUGCCUUCUCUGCCAUCUUCCCACAGCCUCCUUCCUUGGGUGUCUCCCCAGGACCCCAGUCUUUGAAUUUAGGGCUCACUCUUGUCAAGUAUGGUCCCAUCUGAAAAGAGAGGGUCUUUGAUUGCACCCUCAAAGGCCCUAUUUCUAAAUGAGAUCACCAUCUGAGGCUUGGGAUGAGCAUGAAUUUUGAGAGUCGUUGUUCAACCUGGUUCUGUUCCUGUCCAGACGGGAGGAGUUUCUCACAAGUGUGGUUUAAACUGAGACCUGCAGGGGCCAGAGAAGGAGCAUGUCCUGGGCAGAGAACGGCCCUGUGCAAAGGAGGCUGGCGAGCAGGAAGUAGGGUGAGUGGUUAGAACAUUCUAGAAAUGAAGAGGGGAGAGGGUUACAUGGAAGGCAGAGGGCCAAAGUUAGCAGGGCUGGACCAGGAAGGGCCUCUAAAGUCUGGAAUCUGGCCUUUCCCCAAGCCGUGGAAGGGCUCUCACCAGGGUCGGAAGCAAGUGGCGUCUAUCCUGCCAGAGGAUGCUACAUCUCCUCCCUCUCCCACAUGGCUGGACCCAGCUGAGGCAAGUCUCAGUACCAGCUCUUAUCAGGGUGCCAGCCAGGACGGGCCCAGGGAGCAAAGAGGACCAGAGGGAGAGUGGUAACGUCCUGCUGCUCGCAGAGUGCCCGGCUGCCUCUGGCAGGGGACAGGAGCGCUCAGGUGACAGAUGCAAGUAUGUUCAUCUUCUUCUCCGAGUAGGAGAGCAGGUGGAAGAGCCCGUCUGGACACGUCGGGACUGAGACUUUCUCCCUCCACGUGGAAUAAGGUCUGAGCUUCUCAGCAACAUAACCUGGUCGCCAGACGCUCCACAAGGCCGGACCUGGCAGCCUGGUGGCAUGAAAGGAGACUGUAUCCCAACUUCCUUCCUCGCUGCCCCAGUUGUCACUAACUCACCCAUCCGGAGGAUCAGUCUCACCAGCCAACCUGGCCAGGCUGGAGCACCCCACUGUCUGAUGAAACACGCAUACCUGUGGUGUCACUGUGAAGGAAGGUUGCAGAGGUGGUCCAGACCUACAGCCAGCUGACUCCAGGUGACAAAGAGGACCCUGGAAAGUAAGGGUGUGGCUCCAAUCAGUUGGAGACCUUAACAGCAAAAUUCGAGGUUUUUCUGAGAAGAAUUUCUGUGACUCAGCACCAUAGCUCAGUGGUUAGGGCACUAGCCACAUGCACCGGAGCUGGUGGGUUCGAACCCACCCCAGGCCUGCUAAACGACAACAAAAAAGUAGCCAGGAGUUGUGGUGGGUGCUUGUAGUCCCAGCUACUUUAAAAAAAAAAAAAUUUCCAUGUCAAGACCAUCGAGAGAGUUGCCCAGCCCCACACGAGAUCCAGCCUCUCCCAGCCCCGCUGCUCCCAGCCCCGCCAGGCCCACGCCCACCUGAGCCCGCUCCUUACACCUAAAGCUCUCUCGGGAGAACCCUGACACCAAACUGCUCACCCAUGUCCUGGCAGCAGUCUCUCUCCCCCCCCACCUCCACUCUUUUACAGUUUCUGUCUUACUUUCAUUUGUUACUUCAACAAUGACCUAGAUUCUUCACAACAAGCAGAAGCCCAGGCGCUGACUCUGCAGAUGAGAACCCCUCUCCUGUCCUCCCUUCCCUCCACUCUGGCCUGGCUCUCUCUUCUCCUCUUCCCCACUGUCCCACUCCCCAGGGGCUGGGCACCAGGCAGGGGGCACACUCCAGGAGCCAGUGUGGGUGUGGCGUGGAUGUGGACGCAGGAAGGGGGCCGCAGAGAUAAAACCCUUUCUCUGUGAAGCUGGGUGGUGUGGGGGAGGCCGGGCCCACAGAGAGGACGAUGGGCCUUUCGCCCAUCACAUAGACACUAUUUGAAGAUUAGACUUGGCAGCCAGAGAGAAGUUGAAAGCCACUGUUUGAGGCCAGUCCUUAGUCUAGGCUAUGCUGGAGCUCAGAGUCCAUAAGGGAGCUCAAGGGAGCUGCUGGAGAUCAGGUCAGAAAGAUGGCAGAGGCCAUCCAGGCACAGCCUCGGAUUUCAGGUGGCCGACCAUGUGCUUGGUUUGGUCAGUAGUGAGGACGUGGAGGGUUUUGAGCAAGGGAGUGGCCUCAGGGGUGGAGGGCAGAGCAGGGGACCCUACAGCCUGGAGGCCAGUGGGGAUGGGGAAGAGGAGGGGGGAGACGUGGCUUGGUGGCUUUGCCUAGGGCAGAUUGAGCUACUGAGCCAAGGGCACAGCUGGAGAGUCACCCCCAAAGGGGUGAAAGGUAUCUGCUCGGUUGAUGCGUGGAUGGUGCAAGGGGGUUUCUAUGCAGAUGACACUGGUUAUAAAGACUUACGAUGAAACUAACCACGACCACCAUGUGUCCUUGUAAGUCUGCAUUUCCAUACACAGAAUUUCUAAAAACCCAGAGCCUAUCUGUACCCAUCCUCACUGCCACAGGCUGCCCAGUGCCCCCAGUCCACAUGGCGGAGGGAGCGUCUCCCUCCUCUGCGCCAUGGAGUCAGGGGUUUCCCUCUCUCACAGCGGACUGGGUCAUGAGUGCCCCCAAGCAUAGGUCCUUUUGCCGAGGAGGGACCAGGCAGGGCCCAGUGCCACUGGGUUGGGGGCAGCCCCUCCCUGCAGCAUCUUUCCAUGACAUCCCCACAGGGAGGACAGGCGAGUCCUUUGGUGUCAUACUGGUUUCCUGGGGCUGCUGAAACAAAGGACCACAGACUGCUAGGCUUAAAGCAACAGAAUGCUCUUGUGGUUCUGAGAUGCUCUAUGGGCAGAGCCAUGCAGCUCCAGAGGCUCUGGGGGAGGUUCUGCCCUUUGGCCUUCCUGGGGGGCCCCUGCAUCUGGGGCCGUGGCCAUCACUCUCUGAACUCUGCCUCUCUCCUCAGCCUUCUCUUUUCUCCGUCUCCUCUUCUGUUUCUUCUAAGGACACCUGCCCUUGGUUUGGGCCCAUCUGGAUAACCCAGGCGAUCUCACCUGAGAUCCUUAACGUCAUUAUAUCUGCAAAGGCCCUUUUCCCAAACAGGGACUUUUUCAUAGGUUCUGGGAUCAGGGUGUGAACGUACCCUUUUCGGGGCCACCAUUCACCCCAAUGCAGGCACAGAGGGCAGUGAGCCCCCUGGGGGGUCCCGAGCUCUGAGAUGGGGUGGCAGGUCGGCCCCCUCACCAGCAUCUCCUUCCAGCUGAGAUGGUGUGGUCCGUCUCUGCCUGAACCCCGGGCACCUGGGUGUUCCCUCUGCGGGUGCCUAGCUCGGUGUGCUCUUUUGGGCAGAGACCCAUUUCCUCUCCUCCUCCCCUCCAAUAAGAUGAACCUCUGCUGCAGCCUCUCUGAUCCCGCCUGACAAUCCUCUGUCCUCACAUCCUAAAGAGAAAUGUGCUUUGCAGGUUCAACCACUGGCUUGGAUCUUGGAAACAAGCAGACCCCGGUUGGAAUCUCAGCUCAGAACCACAUUAGCUGUGUGUUCAAGGUCAAAUCCUUUGACUUCCCCAAUCUUCCUUUCACAUGUUAUACAAAGAACGUAAUAAGGCCCUGUGCUAUUUUGACUAAAAAAAUAGUUUCUC
Molecule: long non-coding RNA, 7367 nt
Organism: Nycticebus coucang (slow loris)
Lineage: Eukaryota; Metazoa; Chordata; Mammalia; Primates; Lorisidae
Exons: 3
Source: RefSeq, a predicted model, not a curated record